UGAGGAAUAUUGGGCAAUGGACGCAAGUCUGACCCAGCAACGCCGCGUGGAGGAUGAAGGUCUUUGGAUUGUAAACUCCUUUUGUGGGGGAAAAGAGCGGAUGGUACCCCAAGAAUAAGUCACGGCUAACUACGUGCCAGCAGCCGCGGUAAUACGUAGGUGACAAGCGUUAUCCGGAUUUAUUGGGCGUAAAGCGCACGCAGGCGGCCGAUUAAGUCUGACGUGAAAUCUCUCGGCUUAACCGGGAGCGGUCGUUGGAAACUAAUCAGCUUGAGGCGAGGAGAGGGGUGUGGAAUUCCCGGUGUAGUGGUGGAAUGCGUAGAUAUCGGGAGGAACAUCAGUGGCGAAAGCGGCACCCUGGCCUUAGCCUGACGCUCAGGUGCGAAAGCGUGGGGAGCGAACGGGAUUAGAUACCCCCGUAGUCC
This 425-nucleotide ribosomal RNA is filed under the name uncultured bacterium. RNAcentral describes it as "bacterial SSU rRNA". It matches the Rfam family "Bacterial small subunit ribosomal RNA", at positions 355 to 796 of the family's 1533-position model. The record is from RNAcentral.